This 77-nucleotide transfer RNA is filed under the name Lactobacillaceae bacterium. RNAcentral describes it as "tRNA-Ile". It matches the Rfam family "tRNA". From Rfam's summary of the family: Transfer RNA (tRNA) molecules are approximately 80 nucleotides in length. Their secondary structure includes four short double-helical elements and three loops (D, anti-codon, and T loops). Lineage: Bacteria; Bacillati; Bacillota; Bacilli; Lactobacillales; Lactobacillaceae. RNAcentral also lists the same sequence under 1 other name. The record is from RNAcentral.
GGAGGUUUAGCUCAGUUGGUUAGAGCCCCCGACUCAUAAUCGGUUGGUCAUAGGUUCGAGUCCUAUAACCUCCACCA